Molecule: ribosomal RNA, 364 nt
Filed under: uncultured bacterium
Lineage: Bacteria
Description: bacterial SSU rRNA
Rfam family: Bacterial small subunit ribosomal RNA
Source: RNAcentral
AAGGGGGCAACCCCCGGUAGCGUGGCAGACGGGUGAGUAACACGUGGGUAACUUACCCUGAGGUGGGGAAUAACCUUCCGAAAGGAGGGCUAAUACCGCAUGACAUCCCGAGGUCUUCGGCUCUUGGGAUCAAAGCUGGCCUCUGUUUACAAGCUAGCGCCACAGGAGAGACCCGCGCCCCAUUAGCUAGUUGGUGAGGUAACGGCUCACCAAGGCGACGAUGGGUAGCCGGCCUGAGAGGGUGAUCGGCCACACUGGAACUGAGACACGGUCCAGACUCCUACGGGAGGCAGCAGUGAGGAAUAUUGCGCAAUGGGCGAAAGCCUGACGCAGCGACGCCGCGUGGAGGAUGAAGGUCUUCGGA